GAAAACAAGUAAGGACCCCUCACCCUAUUUCCUAUCACGGUAUUAAAGUUCAAAAUGAUAAAACGGUAUUUCUUGAAUUAACGCAUGUGUGAAAUUGCUUAAGGUUGCUAAUGGAGCCCGAGUCUAGUGUGAUUAAUGAUUUACUGUUAUUUGGCAUGUUUUACACUGUUUUACAGCUUUAAAUGCAUUAUGGGGUUUGAUGUGUUCAUUUUAUAGUUUCGAAUGCAUAUAUUACUGUUUUAUUAAUUAUGG
RNAcentral lists this long non-coding RNA (252 nucleotides) under Carica papaya (papaya). Its description in RNAcentral is "long non-coding RNA (CPAP_LNC015130)". The record is from RNAcentral. Lineage: Eukaryota; Viridiplantae; Streptophyta; Magnoliopsida; Brassicales; Caricaceae.